RNAcentral lists this transfer RNA (69 nucleotides) under Channa gachua (dwarf snakehead). RNAcentral describes it as "tRNA-Gly". It matches the Rfam family "tRNA". From Rfam's summary of the family: Transfer RNA (tRNA) molecules are approximately 80 nucleotides in length. Their secondary structure includes four short double-helical elements and three loops (D, anti-codon, and T loops). The record is from RNAcentral. Lineage: Eukaryota; Metazoa; Chordata; Actinopteri; Anabantiformes; Channidae.
AUUUUUCUAGUACAAAAAGUAUAGGUGACUUCCAAUCAUCUGAUCUUGGUUAAAAUCCAAGGAAAAAUA